GAUGAACGCUGGCGGCGUGCCUAAUACAUGCAAGUCGAGCGAACAGACGAAGAGCUUGCUCCUCUGACGUUAGCGGCGGACGGGUGAGUAACACGUGGAUAACCUACCUAUAAGACUGGGAUAACUUCGGGAAACCGGAGCUAAUACCGGAUAAUAUAUUGAACCGCAUGGUUCAAUAGUGAAGGACGGUUUUGCUGUCACUUCUAGUUGGAUCCGCGCCGCAUUAGCUAGUUGGUAAGGUAACGGCUUACCAAGGCAACGAUGCGUAGCCGACCUGAGAGGGUGAUCGGCCACACUGGAACUGAGACACGGUCCAGACUCCUACGGGAGGCAGCAGUAGGGAAUCUUCCGCAAUGGGCGAAAGCCUGACGGAGCAACGCCGCGUGAGUGAAGAAGGUCUUCGGAUCGUAAAACUCUGUUAUUAGGGAAGAACAAAUGUGUAAGUAACUAUGCACGUCUUGACGGUACCUAAUCAGAAAGCCACGGCUAACUACGUG
This 497-nucleotide ribosomal RNA is filed under the name uncultured bacterium. Its description in RNAcentral is "partial 16S ribosomal RNA". It matches the Rfam family "Bacterial small subunit ribosomal RNA", at positions 28 to 507 of the family's 1533-position model. The record is from RNAcentral.